UACGUAGGGUCCGAGCGUUGUCCGGAAUUAUUGGGCGUAAAGGGCUCGUAGGCGGUCUGUCGCGUCGGGAGUGAAAACUUACAGCUUAACUGUGAGCGUGCUUCCGAUACGGGCAGACUUGAGGUAUUCAGGGGAGAACGGAAUUCCUGGUGUAGCGGUGAAAUGCGCAGAUAUCAGGAGGAACACCGGUGGCGAAGGCGGCUCUCUGGGAAUAUCCUGACGCUGAGGAGCGAAAGUGUGGGGAGCGAACAGG
This 253-nucleotide ribosomal RNA is filed under the name uncultured bacterium. Its description in RNAcentral is "partial 16S ribosomal RNA". It matches the Rfam family "Bacterial small subunit ribosomal RNA", at positions 524 to 776 of the family's 1533-position model. The record is from RNAcentral.